RNAcentral lists this long non-coding RNA (868 nucleotides) under Cricetulus griseus (Chinese hamster). RNAcentral describes it as "lncRNA (ENSCGRG00015040353.1)". Lineage: Eukaryota; Metazoa; Chordata; Mammalia; Rodentia; Cricetidae. The record is from RNAcentral.
CUCCUGCCUGCUCACUCUCACUGGCAAGUCCAUUCCCUCACUGACAUUAGAGCCUACCUAUUUGAGAUUCCAUCAUAUUCUGAAGUCCAGCUAAGACAUCCUGCCCCAUGUACUGAACAACUACUGAACUCUUGGACCUUCUGUUCAUAGGACUGGAGUAAGAACUCAGCAGGGUUUGGUGCUCGUCCAGAGGACACAGGUUUAAAUUCUGGCAUGCCCAGUUGCUCAUAACCUUCUGUAACUCCAGCUCCAGAGGAUCAGAUGACCUUUUGUGGCUUCUGAAGGAAAAUGUUUGCUACAAGGGAUAAACACAUAGAUCAGAAGAUACAACACUGCAGGAGGUUUGUGACUAAGGACCAAGCAACAGAAAUUAUCAAAUGAAACACAAAGGAGAAAAGUUAAAAAACGAAAAAGUAAACAGAGCAUCCUCUUCGUCAUCUCUAAAAGUUCAACUUCUGCAUCUGCAGUAAAACGAUUCUCACGGUUUUACUCGGCAUGGCCCGUCUCUCCUAUAGUACUGGGAACAUGCACAGAUGCAGCUGAAUGGCCACUUCCUGUGUCUCUACAAAUUCCAUCACCUAUGUCCGUCCAUGGAUUCAGUUUCCCUUCUCCUUAGCUUCUCUUCUGCUUCAUUACAGGUUGGGUUAUUUCUCUCAGGAUUCCAUCCAUUGUAUAUUUGCUUUGUUGGAUGCUGGGAAUUCGUACAAUGUUCCAUACAUACUUUGUUCUAUGAUAAUAAAAAAAAAAAAAAGUACUGGGAACAGUGUGACACAUUCGAGUCUUUGAAAGUCUUGUCAGGCACAAGCAGAGAAGCAUUUAAUCCAGAGCUUUUGUUGUUGCUUUUUGUUUGUUUGUUUCUUGUUUUUGU